CACGUGCUACAAUGGACAGAACAAAGGGCUGCAAGACCGCAAGGUUUAGCCAAUCCCAUAAAUCUGUUCUCAGUUCGGAUCGCAGUCUGCAACUCGACUGCGUGAAGCUGGAAUCGCUAGUAAUCGCGGAUCAGCAUGCCGCGGUGAAUACGUUCCCGGGCCUUGUACACACCGCCCGUCACACCACGAGAGUUUGCAACACCCGAAGUCGGUGAGGUAACCUUUAUGGAGCCAGCCGCCGAAGGUGGGGCAGAUGAUUGGGGUGAAGUCGUAACAAGGUAGCCGUAUCGGAAGGUGCGGUUGGAUCACCUCC
This 313-nucleotide ribosomal RNA is filed under the name Bacillus pumilus. RNAcentral describes it as "bacterial SSU rRNA". It matches the Rfam family "Bacterial small subunit ribosomal RNA", at positions 1219 to 1530 of the family's 1533-position model. The record is from RNAcentral. Lineage: Bacteria; Bacillati; Bacillota; Bacilli; Caryophanales; Bacillaceae.